RNAcentral lists this ribosomal RNA (273 nucleotides) under uncultured Staphylococcus sp. RNAcentral describes it as "partial 16S ribosomal RNA". It matches the Rfam family "Bacterial small subunit ribosomal RNA", at positions 89 to 355 of the family's 1533-position model. The record is from RNAcentral. Lineage: Bacteria; Bacillati; Bacillota; Bacilli; Caryophanales; Staphylococcaceae.
ACGUUAGCGGCGGACGGGUGAGUAACACGUGGGUAACCUACCUAUAAGACUGGGAUAACUUAGGGAAACCGGAGCUAAUACCGGAUAAUAUUUCGAACCGCAUGGUUCGAUAGUGAAAGAUGGUUUUGCUAUCACUUAUAGAUGGACCCGCGCCGUAUUAGCUAGUUGGUAAGGUAACGGCUUACCAAGGCGACGAUACGUAGCCGACCUGAGAGGGUGAUCGGCCACACUGGAACUGAGACACGGUCCAGACUCCUACGGGAGGCAGCAGUA